GACGAACGCUGGCGGCGUGCCUAAUACAUGCAAGUCGGACGCACAGUUUAUACCGUAGCUUGCUACACCAUAGACUGUGAGUUGCGAACGGGUGAGUAACGCGUAGGUAACCUGCCUGGUAGCGGGGGAUAACUAUUGGAAACGAUAGCUAAUACCGCAUAAUAUUAAUUAUUGCAUGAUAAUUAAUUGAAAGGUGCAAUUGCACCACUACCAGAUGGACCUGCGUUGUAUUAGCUAGUAGGUGAGGUAACGGCUCACCUAGGCGACGAUACAUAGCCGACCUGAGAGGGUGAUCGGCCACACUGGGACUGAGACACGGCCCAGACUCCUACGGGAGGCAGCAGUAGGGAAUCUUCGGCAAUGGACGAAAGUCUGACCGAGCAACGCCGCGUGAGUGAAGAAGGUUUUCGGAUCGUAAAGCUCUGUUGUAAGAGAAGAACGGGUGUGAGAGUGGAAAGUUCACACUGUGACGGUAUCUUACCAGAAAGGGACGGCUAACUACGUG
Molecule: ribosomal RNA, 505 nt
Filed under: uncultured bacterium
Lineage: Bacteria
Description: partial 16S ribosomal RNA
Rfam family: Bacterial small subunit ribosomal RNA
Source: RNAcentral